CAAUAGCGUAUAUUAAAGUUGUUGCAGUUAAAAAGCUCGUAGUUGGAUUUCGGGGCAGCCUGGCUGGUCCGCCGCAAGGCGAGUACUGGUCAGCCGCCCUUCCUCUCGAAAGCCCCGACUGCUCUUUAUUGCAGUGGUCGGGUAGUUCGGGACGUUUACUUUGAAAAAAUUAGAGUGUUCAAGGCAGGCCUACGCCUGAAUACAUUAGCAUGGAAUAAUGGAAGAGGACCUCGGUCCUAUUUCGUUGGUUUCCAGGACCGAAGUAAUGAUUAAGAGGGACAGUUGGGGGCAUUCGUAUUUAAUUGUCAGAGGUGAAAUUCUCGGAUUUAUGAAAGACGAACAACUGCGAAAGCAUUUGCCAAGGAUGUUUUCAUUAA
This 377-nucleotide ribosomal RNA is filed under the name uncultured eukaryote. RNAcentral's name for it is "partial 18S ribosomal RNA". It matches the Rfam family "Eukaryotic small subunit ribosomal RNA", at positions 592 to 976 of the family's 1831-position model. The record is from RNAcentral.